Molecule: ribosomal RNA, 836 nt
Filed under: uncultured bacterium
Lineage: Bacteria
Description: bacterial SSU rRNA
Rfam family: Bacterial small subunit ribosomal RNA
Source: RNAcentral
AAUCAACGCUGGCGGCGUGCCUAACACAUGCAAGUCGCACGAGAAAGGGUAGCAAUACCUGAGUAAAGUGGCGCANGGGUGAGUAACACGUGACUAAUCUACCCUCGAGUGGGGAAUAACUGAGAGAAAUCUUAGCUAAUACCGCAUAACACUUACGAGUCAAAGCAGCAAUGCGCUUGGGGAGGAGGUCGCGGCCGAUUAGCUAGUUGGCGGGGUAAUGGCCCACCAAGGCGAUGAUCGGUAUCCGGCCUGAGAGGGCGCACGGACACACUGGAACUGAAACACGGUCCAGACUCCUACGGGAGGCAGCAGUGGGGAAUUUUGCGCAAUGGGGGAAACCCUGACGCAGCAACGCCGCGUGGAGGAUGAAAUAUCUUGGUAUGUAAACUCCUUUCGAUGGGGAAGAUUAUGACGGUACCCAUAGAAGAAGCCCCGGCUAACUUCGUGCCAGCAGCCGCGGUAAUACGAGGGGGGCAAGCGUUGUUCGGAUUUAUUGGGCGUAAAGGGUGCGUAGGCGGUUUGGCAAGUCUUAUGUGAAAUCUAUGGGCUCAACCCAUAGUCUGCAUAAGAAACUGCCGGGCUUGAGUAUGGGAGAGGUGAGUGGAAUUCCGGUGUAGCGGUGAAAUGCGUAGAUAUCGGAAGGAACACCUGUGGCGAAAGCGGCUCACUGGACCAUAACUGACGCUGAUGCACGAAAGCUAGGGGAGCAAACAGGAUUGGAUACCCUGGUAGUCCUAGCCCUAAACGAUGAUUGUUUGAUGUGGCAGGUACCCAAUCCUGCCGUGUCGAAGCUAACGCGAUAAACAAUCCGCCUGGGGAGUACGGUCGCAAGGCUG